Molecule: ribosomal RNA, 166 nt
Filed under: uncultured bacterium
Lineage: Bacteria
Description: partial 16S ribosomal RNA
Rfam family: Bacterial small subunit ribosomal RNA
Source: RNAcentral
CGCAUGGUUUCAUUAUUAAAGGAUUCCGGUAAAGGAUGGGGAUGCGUUCCAUUAGGUUGUUGGUGGGGUAACGGCCCACCAAGCCUUCGAUGGAUAGGGGUUCUGAGAGGAAGGUCCCCCACAUUGGAACUGAGACACGGUCCAAACUCCUACGGGAGGCAGCAUG